RNAcentral lists this long non-coding RNA (445 nucleotides) under Equus asinus (donkey). Its description in RNAcentral is "lncRNA (ENSEASG00005027973.1)". Lineage: Eukaryota; Metazoa; Chordata; Mammalia; Perissodactyla; Equidae. The record is from RNAcentral.
CAGCCGCCCCAGGAAACUGAUACACCAUCCUGACCACACUACCUUUUAAUUAGUAUUUUGGUCCCUACGACAUUGAAGGAACUGGAAAGGGAUUUCUUUAAUUAGCCUCGAGCUGGCUCAUCUUUGCUUCUACUUCAGCACCUGGCCGAGAGCCCAACGCAAAGACCGCCUCUGAGAUGCUUAAUUCCUCAACUGAAUUCAUACAAAACAAAAACGGACUUCCCGAAAAAGGAUGGGUCUCCUGCAGAAAUCAAGAGAUAUAGGGGAGUUACCUUAUAUACAAACGACAACUUUGUUGAAGGAGCUAAAGCUCGCGGUGAGUCUGGCUCAGAAUCAAGAAUCGACUUCCCAGAGUCCUGCCUUGAAAACACAAAUCCUGUGGGUCUCUAAGUCUGCUUAAGGAGAUCAACAACCCUGUGUGUCCGAACGGUGUGUCCAGGAUCCG